Molecule: long non-coding RNA, 200 nt
Filed under: Ricinus communis (castor bean)
Lineage: Eukaryota; Viridiplantae; Streptophyta; Magnoliopsida; Malpighiales; Euphorbiaceae
Description: long non-coding RNA (RCOM_LNC003264)
Source: RNAcentral
AGCUUUGCCGCCCAUUUGUUUGACCACAGUUGUUGACUUUCUUUUUUUUGGAUUUGAUGGUGCCGUGUAUUCUUCUAUAAGUAACAUCCACGUGGGGCAAAUGGUUAAUUCUACACCGUUGGAUUAAUGAGAGAAUGGCUGCUCAGUUUUCAAAAAGUAUCUCUUGGAUCGGAAGAUAAAGCAGCAGUGUCCGUACAUCC